This 637-nucleotide ribosomal RNA is filed under the name Enterobacter hormaechei. RNAcentral describes it as "partial 23S ribosomal RNA". It matches the Rfam family "Bacterial large subunit ribosomal RNA", at positions 2164 to 2800 of the family's 2925-position model. The record is from RNAcentral. Lineage: Bacteria; Pseudomonadati; Pseudomonadota; Gammaproteobacteria; Enterobacterales; Enterobacteriaceae.
GUGGACGCCAGUCUGCAUGGAGCCGUCCUUGAAAUACCACCCUUUAAUGGCUGGUGUUCUAACGUAGACCCGUGAUCCGGGUUGCGGACAGUGUCUGGUGGGUAGUUUGACUGGGGCGGUCUCCUCCCAAAGAGUAACGGAGGAGCACGAAGGUUGGCUAAUCCUGGUCGGACAUCAGGAGGUUAGUGCAAUGGCAUAAGCCAGCUUGACUGCGAGCGUGACGGCGCGAGCAGGUGCGAAAGCAGGUCAUAGUGAUCCGGUGGUUCUGAAUGGAAGGGCCAUCGCUCAACGGAUAAAAGGUACUCCGGGGAUAACAGGCUGAUACCGCCCAAGAGUUCAUAUCGACGGCGGUGUUUGGCACCUCGAUGUCGGCUCAUCACAUCCUGGGGCUGAAGUAGGUCCCAAGGGUAUGGCUGUUCGCCAUUUAAAGUGGUACGCGAGCUGGGUUUAGAACGUCGUGAGACAGUUCGGUCCCUAUCUGCCGUGGGCGCUGGAGAAUUGAGGGGGGCUGCUCCUAGUACGAGAGGACCGGAGUGGACGCAUCACUGGUGUUCGGGUUGUCAUGCCAAUGGCACUGCCCGGUAGCUAAAUGCGGAAGAGAUAAGUGCUGAAAGCAUCUAAGCACGAAACUUGCCCC